Molecule: ribosomal RNA, 497 nt
Filed under: uncultured bacterium
Lineage: Bacteria
Description: partial 16S ribosomal RNA
Rfam family: Bacterial small subunit ribosomal RNA
Source: RNAcentral
GAUGAACGCUGGCGGCGUGCCUAAUACAUGCAAGUCGAGCGAACAGACGAGGAGCUUGCUCCUCUGACGUUAGCGGCGGACGGGUGAGUAACACGUGGAUAACCUACCUAUAAGACUGGGAUAACUUCGGGAAACCGGAGCUAAUACCGGAUAAUAUAUUGAACCGCAUGGUUCAAUAGUGAAAGACGGUGUUGCUGUCACUUAUAGAUGGAUCCGCGCCGCAUUAGCUAGUUGGUAAGGUAACGGCUUACCAAGGCAACGAUGCGUAGCCGACCUGAGAGGGUGAUCGGCCACACUGGAACUGAGACACGGACCAGACUCCUACGGGAGGCAGCAGUAGGGAAUCUUCCGCAAUGGGCGAAAGCUUGACGGAGCAACGCCGCGUGAGUGAUGAAGGUCUUCGGAUCGUAAAACUCUGUUAUUAGGGAAGAACAAAUGUGUAAGUAACUGUGCACGUCUUGACGGUACCUAAUCAGAAAGCCACGGCUAACUACGUG